Molecule: unclassified non-coding RNA, 215 nt
Filed under: soil metagenome
Description: partial contains 5.8S ribosomal RNA, internal transcribed spacer 2, and large subunit ribosomal RNA
Source: RNAcentral
AACCUAGCACACCUGCGGUGUGUACCUGCGGAGGGAUCAUUACAUGAUUUAACAGGGAGUGGAGGCUUCGGCCAAAGCUCUGUCUGAACCCAUGUCUUUUGCGUACUUCUUGUUUCCUCGGUGGGCUUGCCCGCCGAUAGGACAACCUUAAACUCUUUGCAAUUGCAAUCAGCGUCUGAAAAACUAUAAUAGUUACAACUUUUAGCAAUGGAUCU